RNAcentral lists this non-coding RNA (24 nucleotides) under Rattus norvegicus (Norway rat). Lineage: Eukaryota; Metazoa; Chordata; Mammalia; Rodentia; Muridae. The record is from RNAcentral.
ACGUUAGAAUUGGUAAGGGAUUUC